CAGCCCAGGGAGCAAAAUAAGGUGGCUUAGGUGUGUCCUGAAAAAUAGGUCCUUGUCUUUUGUGAAUGAAUAUUAGCUAAUCAACUGUAUUGCACUCUACACAACGAACAAGUAAGUAACAGAAAGGCGGCCAGUCAAAAUGGCGGGGAAAGCACAGAGGGAUGACGUUUGCAAUAACUAUCCCACCCUAGUCUGAGAAGGGCACAUCGGAUCCGGGGAACGAGCCUCCUUCCCAACAGCAAUACCGAUCUAAUAAAUACCUAUGAUCUGACUUACUAUGAAUGAGGACCGCUGUCAUCACAGAAAGAGGAAGAGUUAGAAGGUCCUCUUCAUUGACAGAAGCCUCAUGUGAUCCCAUAACACCUUUCCAGAAGUGCUCUUUCUGAUACUCCGGCCUUAGGAGAUAAAUGUCCUUCCCAAGGCAUUAUGCAGAACAGCCAGAGGACUUACAAUAACCUUGGACCACUGGGGGCCAACCUCAAGCCACUCACCUGUAUUUAUAAUCUCUGAAGCACAUUUGAUGAGCUUUGAGCUUAGAAAUGAGAAGCUUGAGAAUUUUCAGGAAGAUGAAGAAAUUGACCUUGAAAAAGAAGCAGAGUUGGCACCUAAGGUCAGAGAAGACAGUAGAAGACUUAAAAACAAGAGGAGGUUGAAAGUCAAAGUCUCAUGCCCUCUGGAAGAAGGACGCUUGCACUCAAGCCUUAAUUUCCACCAAUCAUUCCUCUGAAGGGAGGGAGAGGCAGAGGAGAGAACAAAAAUCCCUUCCUGUUAGUACUGGUACUGUUUACUUUCCUUACCAUUAAAUUGCUCC
This is a non-coding RNA of Callithrix jacchus (white-tufted-ear marmoset), 811 nucleotides long. The record is from RefSeq and is a predicted model, not a curated record. NCBI's taxonomy places the organism in Eukaryota, Metazoa, Chordata, Mammalia, Primates, Cebidae.